RNAcentral lists this ribosomal RNA (241 nucleotides) under uncultured bacterium. Its description in RNAcentral is "partial 16S ribosomal RNA". It matches the Rfam family "Bacterial small subunit ribosomal RNA", at positions 15 to 246 of the family's 1533-position model. The record is from RNAcentral.
GAUCCUGGCUCAGGAUGAACGCUAGCGACAGGCUUAACACAUGCAAGUCGAGGGGCAGCACAGGGUAGCAAUACUUGGGUGGCGACCGGCGCACGGGGUGAGUAACGCGUAUGCAACUUACCUAUCAGAGGGGGAUAGGCCCGGCGAAAGUCGGAUUAAUACCCCAUGAAACCAGGGGGUCCCGCAUGGGAAUAUUUGUUAAAGAUUCAUCGCUGAUAGAUAGGCAUGCGUUCCAUUAGGG